AGGAUGAACGCUAGCGGCAGGCUUAACACAUGCAAGUCGNGGGGUAGAAGGAGCUUGCUCCUUUGAGACCGGCGCACGGGUGCGUUAACGCGUAUGCAAUCUACCUUUGCAGAGGGAUAGCCCAGAGAAAUUUGGAUUAAUACCUCAUAGUAUAGUACUUUGGCAUCAAGGAACUAUUAAAGUCACAACGGCAAAAGAUGAGCAUGCGUCCCAUUAGCUAGUUGGUAAGGUAACGGCUUACCAAGGCAACGAUGGGUAGGGGUCCUGAGAGGGAGAUCCCCCACACUGGUACUGAGACACGGACCAGACUCCUACGGGAGGCAGCAGUGAGGAAUAUUGGACAAUGGGCGCAAGCCUGAUCCAGCCAUGCCGCGUGCAGGAUGACGGUCCUAUGGAUUGUAAACUGCUUUUGUACAGGAAGAAACACUGGUUCGUGAACCAGCUUGACGGUACUGUAAGAAUAAGGAUCGGCUAACUCCGUG
RNAcentral lists this ribosomal RNA (482 nucleotides) under uncultured bacterium. RNAcentral's name for it is "bacterial SSU rRNA". It matches the Rfam family "Bacterial small subunit ribosomal RNA", at positions 26 to 507 of the family's 1533-position model. The record is from RNAcentral.